AAAAUAAUCCUACCCUUUGUGAAUUUUGUUUGUUUGAAUAAUUUUUUUUUUUAAAAAAUUAUUGGAGUCUUUCCCUUUAGAGUUUGCUUUUGAGUUUGUAAAAGAAUUCGAAAACAUCUAAAGGGGAUGGUCAAUAAUUUUUUUUGAAAAAAGACAUUUUUUAAAAUUAAACUUUUUGUAUUCAUUUGUCUAAAAAUUAUUUUUAUAAUAUAAAAACAACUUUUGACAAUGGAUCUCUUGGUUCUCGCAACGAUGAAGAACGCAGCAAAAUGCGAUAAGUAGUGUGAAUUGCAGAAUACGUGAAUCAUCGAAUCUUUGAACGCAUAUUGCACUUUUUUAGUUUACUAAAAAAGUAUGUCUGUUUGAGUAUCAGUAAAAUAUUCUCAUAAAAAUCAUUGUAUUUUUAUGGUUAUGAGUGUUUUACAACGAUACAAGUUGUUUCACUUUAAAUUUUUUUUUAAUAUUGAAAUUUUUCUAAUUUUAAUAAUUAAAAUUGGAUAAAAUUUUCCCGUCAAAAGGAAUAACCUAAACAAUUUUAAACGAUUAAUUUUAGCAAAAUUUUCGUAAAAAAGGAAAAUUUUUAUUAAAAUAACUUGAUCUCAAAUCAGAUAAGAGUACCCGCUGAACUUAAGCAUAUCAAUAAGCGGAGGAAAAGAAACUAACAAGGAUUCCCUUAGUAACGGCGAGUGAAGCGGGAAGAGCUCAAAUUUGAAAUCUUCAAGGUUUUACCUUGACGAAUUGUAGUUUAAAGAAGUGUUUUCUGCUGAAGUUUUGGUAAAAGUUCUUUGGAAUAGGACAUCAUAGAGGGUGAGAAUCCCGUAUUUGACCAUUAUUUUCAGCUUUGUGAUACACUUUCAAAGAGUCGGAUUGUUUGGGAAUGCAGUCCAAAAUGGGUGGUAAAUUUCAUCUAAAGCUAAAUAUUGGCGAGAGACCGAUAGCGAACAAGUACCGUGAGGGAAAGAUGAAAAGAACUUUGAAAAGAGAGUUAAACAGUACGUGAAAUUGUCAAAAGGGAAGCGUUUGACACCAGUGUUGUUUUCUCGAAAAUCAAUUAAAAAUGGCUCGAUUUUGUAUUGCUGAGACCUUAAAAGCUCACUGUACAUUUUUCGUGUCUUUUUUAAUGCACUUUUCGUUUAACAAGUCAACAUCAGUUUCUUUUGUUGUAAAAGGGUCAUUGGAAGGUGGCUUUCUUUUCGGAGAAAGUGUUUAUAGCCUUUGGCCUCUGCAAUCGGAGAGACUGAGGUCUGCAGCGUAGACUCUUCGGGGUUAGAUACAUUUGUGCUAAGUUAUAGCUUUUUAUAGACAACUUGUUGACUAUAAUUAGUCUUGUAGCUUACUCGCUUAUGCUAUUUUACCUACGCUUAGGAUG
This 1369-nucleotide unclassified non-coding RNA is filed under the name uncultured Neocallimastigales. RNAcentral describes it as "partial contains internal transcribed spacer 1, 5.8S ribosomal RNA, internal transcribed spacer 2, and large subunit ribosomal RNA". The stretch from base 595 to 1369 matches the Rfam family "Eukaryotic large subunit ribosomal RNA", at positions 1 to 626 of the family's 3401-position model. The record is from RNAcentral. Lineage: Eukaryota; Fungi; Neocallimastigomycota; Neocallimastigomycetes; Neocallimastigales.